AACGAACGCUGGCGGCAGGCUUAACACAUGCAAGUCGAGCGAGUGUCCUUGGGGGCAUCAGCUGCGGACGGGUUAGUAACGCGUGGGAACGUGCCUUGUUCUUGUGAAUAUCCCUGGGAAACCGGGGGUAAUACCUGAUGUUCCCUGAGGGGGAAAUGUGGCAACACCUGCACGGGAUCGGCCCGCGCCUAUUUAGGUAGUUGGUGAGGUAACGGCCCACCAAGGCGACGAUGGGUAGCCGACCUGAGAGGGUGAUCAGCAACACUGGAACGGAGACACGGUCCAGACUCCUACGGGAGGCAGCAGUAGGGAAUCUUCCGCAAUGGGCGAAAGCCUGACGGAGCAACGCCGCGUGAGUGAUGAAGGUCGUCGGAUCGUAAAACUCUGUUAUUAGGGAAGAACAAAUGUGUAAGUAACUAUGCACGUCUUGACGGUACCUAAUCAGAAAGCCACGGCUAACUACGUG
Molecule: ribosomal RNA, 466 nt
Filed under: uncultured bacterium
Lineage: Bacteria
Description: partial 16S ribosomal RNA
Rfam family: Bacterial small subunit ribosomal RNA
Source: RNAcentral